AGAGUUUGAUCCUGGCUCAGGACGAACGCUGGCAGCGUGCCUAAUACAUGCAAGUCGAACGAACUCUGGUAUUGAUUGGUGCUUGCAUCAUGAUUUACAUUUGAGUGAGUGGCGAACUGGUGAGUAACACGUGGGAAACCUGCCCAGAAGAGGGGGAUAACACCUGGAAACAGAUGCUAAUACCGCAUAACAACUUGGACCGCAUGGUCCGAGUUUGAAAGAUGGCUUCGGCUAUCACUUUUGGAUGGUCCCGCGGCGUAUUAGCUAGAUGGUGAGGUAACGGCUCACCAUGGCAAUGAUACGUAGCCGACCUGAGAGGGUAAUCGGCCACGUUGGGACUGAGACACGGCCCAAACUCCUACGGGAGGCAGCAGUAGGGAAUCUUCCACAAUGGACGAAAGUCUGAUGGAGCAACGCCGCGUGAGUGAAGAAGGGUUUCGGCUCGUAAAACUCUGUUGUUAAAGAAGAACAUAUCUGAGAGUAACUGUUCAGGUAUUGACGGUAUUUAACCAGAAAGCCACGGCUAACUACGUGCCAGCAGCCGCGGUAAUACGUAGGUGGCAAGCGUUGUCCGGAUUUAUUGGGCGUAAAGCGAGCGCAGGCGGUUUUUUAAGUCUGAUGUGAAAGCCUUCGGCUCAACCGAAGAAGUGCAUCGGAAACUGGGAAACUUGAGUGCAGAAGAGGACAGUGGAACUCCAUGUGUAGCGGUGAAAUGCGUAGAUAUAUGGAAGAACACCAGUGGCGAAGGCGGCUGUCUGGUCUGUAACUGACGCUGAGGCUCGAAAGUAUGGGUAGCAAACAGGAUUAGAUACCCUGGUAGUCCAUACCGUAAACGAUGAAUGCUAAGUGUUGGAGGGUUUCCGCCCUUCAGUGCUGCAGCU
This 881-nucleotide ribosomal RNA is filed under the name uncultured bacterium. Its description in RNAcentral is "bacterial SSU rRNA". It matches the Rfam family "Bacterial small subunit ribosomal RNA", at positions 8 to 853 of the family's 1533-position model. The record is from RNAcentral.